This 465-nucleotide ribosomal RNA is filed under the name uncultured bacterium. RNAcentral's name for it is "partial 16S ribosomal RNA". It matches the Rfam family "Bacterial small subunit ribosomal RNA", at positions 338 to 795 of the family's 1533-position model. The record is from RNAcentral.
CCUACGGGGGGCAGCAGUAGGGAAUCUUCCACAAUGGGCGAAAGCCUGAUGGAGCAACGCCGCGUGGGUGAAGAAGGUCUUCGGAUCGUAAAACCCUGUUGUUAGAGAAGAAAGUGUGUGAGAGUAACUGUUCACGUUUCGACGGUAUCUAACCAGAAAGCCACGGCUAACUACGUGCCAGCAGCCGCGGUAAUACGUAGGUGGCAAGCGUUAUCCGGAUUUAUUGGGCGUAAAGGGAACGCAGGCGGUCUUUUAAGUCUGAUGUGAAAGCCUUCGGCUUAACCGGAGUAGUGCAUUGGAAACUGGGAGACUGGAGUGCAGAAGAGGAGAGUGGAACUCCAUGUGUAGCGGUGAAAUGCGUAGAUAUAUGGAAGAACACCAGUGGCGAAAGCGGCUCUCUGGUCUGUAACUGACGCUGAGGUUCGAAAGCGUGGGUAGCAAACAGGAUUAGAUACCCCUGUAGUC